RNAcentral lists this long non-coding RNA (327 nucleotides) under Brassica napus (rape). RNAcentral describes it as "long non-coding RNA (BNAP_LNC022083)". The record is from RNAcentral. Lineage: Eukaryota; Viridiplantae; Streptophyta; Magnoliopsida; Brassicales; Brassicaceae.
UGAGGCUGAGAUCGCGAGCGGCUGAUCGUUGAAUGGGAGCUGUUGCUGUCAGAUCGCGAGCGCCUCUGAUGCGAACGGGACGCUUGCUGUCUGGAACGCGGGCUGUCCUGGAUCAAGAGUUGAGGCUGAGUUCGUCUGAGCUGAGAUUGUCUGAAGCUGAGACGGGAACGCGGGGUUGCUGAUCGGGAACGCGUAGGAUCGGUGUUCACCGGGUAGGAUUAGGGUUUAUCGAUUUUUGGUUUUAGCUUUAGGAUUUUAGAGGCUAUCGUGCUGAUAACGUGUUAUAAAACUAAGAAGAAUAGUUUGUAUAUUUAUUCAUAAAACAUA